GACGAACGCUGGCGGCGUGCUUAACACAUGCAAGUCGAACGGAAAGGCCCUGCUUUUGUGGGGUGCUCGAGUGGCGAACGGGUGAGUAACACGUGAGUAACCUGCCCUUGACUUUGGGAUAACUUCAGGAAAAUGGGGCUAAUACCGGAUAGGAGCUCCUGCUGCAUGGUGGGGGUUGGAAAGUUUCGGCGGUUGGGGAUGGACUCGCGGCUUAUCAGCUUGUUGGUGGGGUAGUGGCUUACCAAGGCUUUGACGGGUAGCCGGCCUGAGAGGGUGACCGGCCACAUUGGGACUGAGGUACGGCCCAGAGUCCUACGGGAGGCAGCAGUGGGGAAUAUUGCACAAUGGGCGGAAGCCUGAUGCAGCAACGCCGCGUGCGGGAUGACGGCCUUCGGGUUGUAAACCGCUUUCGCCUGUGACGAAGCGUGAGUGACGGUAAUGUGUAAAGAAGCACCGGCUAACUACGUG
RNAcentral lists this ribosomal RNA (468 nucleotides) under uncultured bacterium. RNAcentral describes it as "partial 16S ribosomal RNA". It matches the Rfam family "Bacterial small subunit ribosomal RNA", at positions 28 to 507 of the family's 1533-position model. The record is from RNAcentral.